GUGGGGUACCGUCCCCCCCCCCAAACUCAUCUCAAUAGACAGCAUAUCCCAGCGUGGCAGAACAGGCUGGGCAGCAGAGACCUACCUGGAGUUCUGAUGGAUCAGAGGUCAUUCACUACAGAGAAAACUUGGGGAGCAGCCUGAGAAACAUCAAAUGCUGGAAGGAGACGGGAGAAGAACACUAUUAUGAACCAGAUGACUCUGUCUUAAGUGAAAUAAACCCAAGCAACAUCAAA
RNAcentral lists this long non-coding RNA (236 nucleotides) under Mus spretus (western wild mouse). RNAcentral's name for it is "RIKEN cDNA 1700015C17 gene (ENSMSPG00010008859.1)". Lineage: Eukaryota; Metazoa; Chordata; Mammalia; Rodentia; Muridae. The record is from RNAcentral.